RNAcentral lists this transfer RNA (74 nucleotides) under Deltaproteobacteria bacterium. RNAcentral describes it as "tRNA-Arg". It matches the Rfam family "tRNA". From Rfam's summary of the family: Transfer RNA (tRNA) molecules are approximately 80 nucleotides in length. Their secondary structure includes four short double-helical elements and three loops (D, anti-codon, and T loops). Lineage: Bacteria; Pseudomonadati; Myxococcota; Myxococcia. The record is from RNAcentral.
GCACCCGGGGCGCGAGUGGAUUGCGCGCUGGUUUCCGAAACCAGAGGUUCCAGGUUCGAGCCCUGGCGGGUGCA